CGCCCGUCGCUACUACCGAUUGAAUGGCUUAGUGAGGCGUUCGGACUGGUCCAGGGAGGUGGGCAACUACCACCCAGGACCGGAAAGUUCUCCAAACUUGGUCAUUUAGAGGAAGUAAAAGUCGUAACAAGGUCUCCGUUGGUGAACCAGCGGAGGGAUCAUUA
Molecule: ribosomal RNA, 164 nt
Filed under: Stachybotrys echinatus
Lineage: Eukaryota; Fungi; Ascomycota; Sordariomycetes; Hypocreales; Stachybotryaceae
Also listed under: 1 other name
Description: Memnoniella echinata partial 18S ribosomal RNA
Rfam family: Eukaryotic small subunit ribosomal RNA
Source: RNAcentral